GCGCUGCUGACGAGUCCCGAACAGGACGAAGCAUUUGUCCAGUGC
Non-coding RNA from Echinostoma caproni, 45 nucleotides. The record is from Rfam. Lineage: Eukaryota; Metazoa; Platyhelminthes; Trematoda; Plagiorchiida; Echinostomatidae.